UUAAUGACCAGCCACAGUGUCCCUGCCGUGAGCUCUGGCCACUGCCUCCGGGGCUCCCAAGCCACACACAAGUUUCUGUGCUGUUGGAGGAGGUAACAUGGCUUGUUGGCCUCAGCUGAGGUUGCUGCUAUGGAAGAACCUGACUUUCAGAAGAAGACAAACAUGUCAGCUAUUGCUGGAAGUGGCCUGGCCUCUAUUUAUCUUCCUGGUCUUGAUCUCUGUUCGGCUAAACUACCCACCUUACGAACAACAUGAAUGCCACUUUCCAAACAAAGCCUUGCCCUCUGCAGGAACGCUUCCUUGGGUUCAGGGGAUCAUCUGUAAUGCUAACAACCCCUGUUUCCGUUACCCAACUCCUGGUGAGGCUCCUGGUGUUGUUGGAAACUUUAACAAGUCCAUGUAAGUACCAGAUCAGGUUUUCUUUUGCACAUGUAUCAUUUAAUACUUAUCCAUGCUUUCUUGGAAAGGUUUGUUCAGAAAAGUCUGCAGAAUGAAGGAAGAGGAUUGCUUUAGGAUUUAAGGCUGUAGGGUGGGAUGUUACUUUGAUGCAUUUUAGGAGUAACAAGGAUAUGCAGCCAAAAGCUGUUUGGUUGGAGGCUGUUCCUCCAAAAACUGGCUAAUAAGAAGGGAAGGGAGACAUAGCCCAACUGGUCUGCCUAAUAAUCAGUCCACUUAUUAAGCGACACAUGAGAAAUGGGGGAGAUGGAUUCUUGGAACUGAGUUCUGCACAGC
RNAcentral lists this long non-coding RNA (732 nucleotides) under Fukomys damarensis (Damara mole-rat). Its description in RNAcentral is "lncRNA (ENSFDAG00000025881.1)". Lineage: Eukaryota; Metazoa; Chordata; Mammalia; Rodentia; Bathyergidae. The record is from RNAcentral.